GAUGAAUGAUAUCUUUAUUACUUCACAAUUUGCGUCAUCCUCUCUCGAGUGUUUUGCGUCAGCCAGAUGUACGAUAAUGCUGGAAACUUGGGAAGUUCUCAUGUCAGAUGACAUGAUCCCAAUGACCCAAUCCCAUCCCCACACCAAUUUUCGCAACGUUGAUGGAGGCAAGUGUAGAUGUCAUGAAACUCAACUUCUAGUCUGAAUAUUACAAAAUAGAGGACAAGUUCUUCAAACCAAGAAAUGCUGGUUACUGUCCUAUCCUUAACCAGCGACCUCCAAGUUUGAGCUUCAAGUGGGAUUGUCUUGUUUACGCAUGCCAAGAACAAAAACUUUUUUAUUUGAAAUGUAUCUUGUCCUUAGGUUAUAGGUCAUAUUUUGCUAUGUUGUCUAGGGCAGUGAACUUUGGGAAUAACCAAAAGGUCUUAGCAGUGUGGAGAAAGUGGGUGGUGAAAUGAGAAGAGACCAAAGUGAAUUAAUGAUGAGUACAAGACGGGAGCAAUGCUGAAGAAACACCAAAGGGAAUGUUGGAUCAUUUGGGAUGAAUCUUCCCUACUGUUGAAGUUAGCUUAUAUCUCCGCACCGAUGGGUGAGUAGGCAUUCAAACAGAUGACUGAUUGGCUGCCUGGAUGACAGUUUAGUACACCUAUUCUCCACCAGGUGUGUUCCAAAUCUUUUAGCUCAUCAGAAUUCUCCUUGCUGCAGUUGUGCAUAAGUCCUUGUUGGUAUUUCAUGGCGGUUUGCUGCUAUCACAGUACUGUAGGUUUAUUUUUCCCAGGAUGCCUCCACUGGAAUUGAGGCUGGGAACGUUAGGUUCUGUAGGAAUGAUUGUUGUGUUAGUAGGUUGUAAUUUUUUUUCUUUUUCAGGAGAUGAAGUGUGAUCUUGAGAAUAUAUGUCAGGAAGUAGGGAUUUUCGAAGGACUGUGCUUAAGUUCAUUAAUGAAGGAAGAGAAGGGAAACAGAGAGAUUGCAAAAGCAAUUAGUUAGGUCAGGUUAUGAACCUGUCAUUUCUCCUCCUCCUCCUCCUCCAGGUCCUUGGUCUGUAGAUAUCCAAACUCAGUCUAGGCUUUUCCUUUGCCAAUUCUUUAGUUAGUACUGAGGCUUCCUCUUUAGUUCUGCCCUCUGCUCCCCUUUUGGGUACUGCUUGCUUACUGUUAAAGUAGACCCCGCCCAGCUUCCCCAUAACUUAUUGGGCUGUCAAGGAGAAUUCUGAUAAGCUAAACCAUUCGAAACACACCUGGUGGAGAAGAGGUGUACUAACCAGUCAUCUGGCACCCAUUUGAUAUUUUGUUUGAAUGCUGACUCGCUUAUGGGCGCAGAGAUAUAAGCUAACUUUAAUAAUAGGUAAGUAUUCAAAUAGGUAAUAAAUUUUGUUAUGAAAAUUUAUAUAGUAUGUUGUGCUCUGGCCCUGCUUAUACCUCCAGCUUGGGUAUACUCUAGAUCUAUCCUAAGGUCAUCAGUCUGUGUAACAGACAAGUAUUAUUGAAUAAUUCCCAUAUUGUCAUUUAUAUUUUUAUACAUAUCUGCAAAUGAGAUUAGAUGUCUGAACAUUUUCCACCAUUGUAUAACUUAGUGUAGUGUACUUUUAGCCUGAACUCUUUAUAUUGUUUCAGACAAUGCCUUGCCCUUAGCUUCCAUUCCCAUCAUCAUAAAUGUAGUUUUGCUUGGUUUGGUUCUCAUCAAGUCAUCUAGAUAGCAGGAGCUGUUAGUGGCCUCCCUUUCAAAAUUUCUUUGUAACAUCCUCCUCUACGCAGGAUUAGCAGUGUUGGGCUCGGGGCUGAUCCGUGGUGGACACCAACAUUUCUCAAGUUCUCUGGGUGUAUCUGCCACAAUAUUCAGUACAUGUUAAUUUUAAACUGCAUUUUUAAACUUUCUUCCACAACCAACACUAACCAUCACCCAUUGAUAUGUACACUGUUUCAGUAGAACUCCUCUGCAUUUUGCUCACUGUAAUAAGUUUCCUUGGCCUUAAAUGUAAUUCAUGUGAUACCUUCAUUCUUCUGGUCCAACUUCCUCCUCUUUAAUGCUGGUUUUAAGUGCUUUGCCCCAUUUCCUUCCUAUACUUACAUAUAUUUGAUAAUGUAUAUCUGUUGCUUUCUUUUUCCAUCACCUCUAUUCUAUGUGGGGGGUAUCUUUUCUGAUAGUCAUUGUCAGGAGUGGAUCAAGGCAUAUGAAAGUAGUUUGUGUUGAGAUUUUAAGAUUAUUUCUAUGAGUAGUAUCUUAUUUUCUCAUCUUCUUCUGUUAAGUGUUUUCUUUGGCUAAUAUUUGCUUUGUUUAUUCUUAAUUUAUCCUUAUUUUUGUGUUGUAUGACUUUUUAGACACCAUGAUCCAUUGUAAAAUGGAAAAGGAAAACACCAGGUUCCAGUACUUGCUGACUUGUGUUGAUGGUCCCACAGGAUUAUAAUAUAGAGCAUUAUCAUGCAUACAUAUCACUCUUGCCUGGUUUCAGUUGACUCUAGUUUGUCUAGAACACAUAAAUGGGUAGUGGGCUUCAUGACCAAUGGAGUUACAGUUACCAGGUUUCUAUAAGGCUAAUUUCUGAUUUCACAUUCUUGGACUCAUUUCAAGCUUGUUUGGCCUUUCAGUCACUAGAGGAGAUCCAACCUCCUUCCAAAGGGUGUGAAACUUACAGGGUUACAAUUUUAAAAUGAUCAUUAUUGAUAUUAUAUCUAAACUGUCUAAUCAGACUACGUACUGAGUUAACAUUCUUAAUUCUAGUAGGGUUGGCCCAAAGGGAAUGUUAACAGUUACCUAAAAUAUGAAUGUGUUUUUUUUUUUUUUUUUUUUAUUGUUAAUUCAGAGAAAUCUCUCAUCCUUUGUAUCAUUUGUCAAAGUGCAAAGAACUGUAGCUACUAUAGGUUAAACUAGAUUUUGGCAAAAAGUGACAGUGGGUAAAGCCAUUUGUACCCUGAUUAAUUAGUGACAAUAUGGAAUUAGAUUUUUAUGGAAUUCCUUAUGAUGGCCAGACGUCUAACUCAAUUUUACUCUUGCUUUAUCAUGCCGUGACUAUUAAGUAACUAAUUAUUCUUAUAGCCAAAUAAAGUGUAGAGAUUUUGUGAGAACUGAGUAAAUGCUGAAAUACAGAGGUCCUUCCACAAAAAAAAAAAAAUUUACAAUUUGGUAUUACAAUGUCAUUUUGGUAGGAACAGAAAAUUUGGGUAGGAUGCAAGCUAGACCAGCACUCAAUGUUUUCCCUUUAGGCAAAUUUGAGGUUAAAUUUUAACAAUUACAAUCAAUUAUAUUUUUAAAAAUGCUCAUGGUCACACGUAUCUUGAAAUGGAGAAAAAAUCCACAGAUAUGUAUGGGUACAAAUAUAUUCAAAAUAAAUCUAUAUAGAUUUAUCUUUUAUAUAUUUUUACCCAUACAUACUUCUAGAUUUGUUUCCCUAGUCAACUGAAUCUUGACUUAACCAUAUUACUGAAAUCCAGUGGGAAUUGUAUAGUAGUACAAGUUAACACUAAAUCAUAAAUUAUUACAGUAAGCUAAAAGCAACCUUCAUAUGUCUAGACACAUGCAUUGGAUAGCCUAGAAUGUUCAGACACCGUAACUCAUAAAUAAUAAAUGCGAAUACCCCAAAUAAUUCACGUUAUAAAAAACCACAAGCAUUUCAAGAUGUAUAUCUUCUUAAAACGUAACUACUACUGACAUUGUCUGGAUUGAAUAAUUUCCUAAGCUGAGGCAGAACUCUUCGGUUGUCAAGAUUUCACUAAUGACAACUCGAAAUUUCAAUGUUGCCUUAAAUGGUCUAGUAUACUUUACAUUAUUACUUGCAUGCAUUGCUUCAUAGUGAGUCAUUCUUAUAAUAAAUAUAACUGCUGAUUCUGGAUUGAUAAUGGAUGCAAAACAUUGUUAGCUAAGAUAUUCACCAAAUGUCCCUAUAUCCUAUGUAUAAUUAAUAUCGUGAAAGAGUAGAAUGAAAUAAAAAUGGAAAACUGAUGCCUGUAAACUCGGUAUAUCUUCUGUCAUCUGAGAUGGAAACGCUAGUCAUCAAAAUAAUUAUAGUAGUACAUCAUAUUCAGCAAGUAUAAAGGCCUGUCCACACGAUCGGGCCUGAUCGGCGGACUUCCCCUCUAACGGGCACACUUGACGGGCAAACCGUCAAAUUGCCCGAUGGGUUUUGUAGCAAAAUCACCAUGGUGGUGCCCGAUGGCUGAGCUUCAACCCUGGCAGACGUACGUUAACCAUAUACAUUUCUUUUACUGAGCCAUUCUUUGCACCAUAUUCUCUUCUUUUUCAUCACACACAAAGCAAUUAUCAUGCUACACUAUCUUCUUCUUUGCGGUAGGCACCAUGUUUAUCGUACCACACUGAACACGCUACUGGCAUUGUCGGGCACGCCCACCUCUCCAUCGCCUCACCUGUGUGGACAACAUUUACGGAUAAGUCCGCCAGAAUUUGCCCGUCAACCCUGGAGCAUGCCGAUCAGGCCCGGUCGUGUGGACAGGCCUUAAUGCAUUGCAAAAUAGCCAGAUACUCAAGUUUCAGUUCCUAGACCAGGAGAUAAUAUAUUCCAAUCCUAUUCAAGAGAACAUUAAACAUACAAGCUACACUCUCCUUGGGUAAAAGGCUUAAAGAAGAACAUUUAGCCUUUAACAAAUGCCAUUAUCUGUUCUUUGCAAACUUCCCAGUUUCAUACAAAUUAUAAUCAGUUCACUAUGAAACUUCCAAAUUUGUUCGCACAAAAAGCCAUUUCAAAAACUUUCAGACUGAACAGCAUAAAUAAAACAAUUAGUUGAUA
Molecule: long non-coding RNA, 4738 nt
Organism: Macrobrachium nipponense
Lineage: Eukaryota; Metazoa; Arthropoda; Malacostraca; Decapoda; Palaemonidae
Exons: 3
Source: RefSeq, a predicted model, not a curated record